AAUCAACGCUGGCGGCGUGCCUCAGACAUGCAAGUCGAACGAUUAAAGCUCUCUUCGGAGAGUGCAUAGAGUGGCGCACGGGUGAGUAACACGUAAGUAAUCUACCUUCGAGUGGGGAAUAACGUCCGGAAACGGACGCUAAUACCGCAUAAUGCAGCGGCAUCGCAAGAUGACAGUUGUUAAAGGAGCAAUUCGCUUGAAGAGGAGCUUGCGGCAGAUUAGCUAGUUGGUAAGGUAAUGGCUUACCAAGGCUACGAUCUGUAACCGGUCUAAGAGGACGGUCGGUCACACUGACACUGAAUAACGGGUCAGACUCCUACGGGAGGCAGCAGUCGGGAAUUUUGGGCAAUGGGCGAAAGCCUGACCCACGCAACGCCGCGUGAAGGAUGAAGUAUUUCGGUAUGUAAACUUCGAAAGAAUAGGAAGAAUAAAUGACGGUACUAUUUAUAAGGUCCGGCUAACUACGUGCCAGCAGCCGCCGUAAC
RNAcentral lists this ribosomal RNA (485 nucleotides) under uncultured bacterium. Its description in RNAcentral is "bacterial SSU rRNA". It matches the Rfam family "Bacterial small subunit ribosomal RNA", at positions 32 to 524 of the family's 1533-position model. The record is from RNAcentral.